Molecule: ribosomal RNA, 2967 nt
Filed under: hot springs metagenome
Description: bacterial LSU rRNA
Rfam family: Bacterial large subunit ribosomal RNA
Source: RNAcentral
AGGGCAUAAGGUGGAUGCCUUGGCAUCAGCAGCCGAAGAAAGGCGUGGCAAGACUGCGAAAAGCCUCAGGGAGCUGUCUAGCUAGCUUAUCUGGGGAUUCCUGAAUGGGGCAACCCGCCCCGAUGAAGAUCGGGGCAUUUCGAUUAUAUCGAAAGGGGAACCGGGUGAACUGAAACAUCUUAGUAACCCGAGGAAAAGAAAUCAACCGAGAUUCCCUUAGUAGUGGCGAACGAACGGGGAAGAGCCCAAACCAGAGUAGCUCAGUGGGCUUGGAUCCUAAGCUAUUCUGGGGUUGCAAGGCACAGGGGGCAGAUUCCAAGGUCUGCCACAGAGUGAUAAAACUUUUCCUUAGCUGAAUGCUUCUGGAAAGGGCAACCGCAGAAGGUGAGAGUCCUGUAGGCGAAAAGGAAAAGUCUCUGCCUGUGUUCUUGAGUACCACGGGACACGUGGAAUCCUGUGGGAAGCUGGGGGGACCAUCCUCCAAGGCUAAAUACUGCUGAUGACCGAUAGUGAACCAGUACCGUGAGGGAAAGGUGAAAAGCACCCCGGGAGGGGAGUGAAAUAGAACCUGAAACCUUAUGCUUACAAGCAGUCAGAGUCCUGAUUUUAUCGGGAUGAUGGCGUGCCUAUUGAAGAAUGAGCCGACGAGUUGAUCUAUGUGGCUAGGUUAAGCGACUUUAGUCGUGGAGCCGUAGCGAAAGCGAGUCCGAACAGGGCGUGCCCGACUCUAUCGGGCAGGUCGCAUAGAUCAGACCCGAAACCGGGUGAUCUACCCAUGGUCAGAGCGAAGCUCAAGUAAAAUUGAGUGGAGGCUCGAACUUGUGAGUCAGGCGAAACUCUGAGAUGAACUGUGGGUAGUGCAGGUGAAAUGCCAAACGAACCCGGAAAUAGCUGGUUCUCCCCGAAAUGUAUUUAGGUACAGCCUCAGGAAGUAAUCUACGGAGGUAGAGCUCUGGAUGAGCCAGGGGCCGUGAGGUUACCGAACUCAACCAAACUGCGAAUGCCGUAGGUGUAAUCCUGGGAGUGAGACUGUGGGGGCUAAGCUUCAUAGUCGAGAGGGGAUCAGCCCAGACCAUCAGCUAAGGUCCCUAAAUGCAGGCUAAGUGGGCAAGGAGGUGGUGCCGCACAAACAGCCAGGAGGUUGGCUUAGAAGCAGCCAUCCUUUAAAGAGUGCGUAACAGCUCACUGGUCGAGUGGUACCGCGCCGACAAUUUAACGGGGCUCAAGCCUGCUACCGAAGCUAUGGCUCCGAUAACCUCGGAGGGUAGGGGAGCGUUGUCAUGGCUGUGAAGCUCCGAUGUGAAUCGGGGUGGAGCAAUGACAAGUGAGAAUGUCGGUAUGAGUAGCGCGAAGGCAUGUGAAAAUCAUGCCCACCGUAAACCUAAGGUUUCCUACGCAACGUUUAUCGGCGUAGGGUUAGUCAGACCUAAGCUGAACCCUAAUGGGGUAGGCGAUGGACAGUAGGUUAAUAUUCCUACACCGCUCGGCUUUUGUUACGGCAAAGGGGGGACACAGGAAGGUAGGUUGAGCAUGCCUAUUGGACAUGGUGUGUUCCCAACUCAAGGCGUACCAGAGCAGGCAAAUCCACUCUGGUGUUAAGCUGAGGGGAGGGAGAAUCUGAGGGGAAACCCGAGGAAACUCAACUGAGUCUACGCUGGCGAGAAAAGCCUCGUUGCUAAAAAGCCGAGCGCCUGUACCGCAAACCGCCACUGGUAGGUGGGGAUAAAAGUCCCAAGGUGUUCGAGAUAACCCUCGUUAAGGAACUCGGCAAUCUAACCCCGUAACUUCGGGAGAAGGGGGCCCCGAUUAUAUCGGGGGGCACGAAAUCGGCCCAGGCGACUGUUUAACAAAAACACAGGUCUCUGCUAAAGCGAAAAAGCUGAAGUAUAGAGGCUGAUACCUGCCCGGUGCCAGAAGGUUAAGGGGAGAGGUUAUUCCGAUUUAUCGGGAGAAGCCUUGAGCCGAAGCCCUGGUGAACGGCGGCCGUAACUAUAACGGUCCUAAGGUAGCGAAGUCCCUUGUCGGGUAAGUUCCGACCCGCACGAAAGGUGUAACGACUUGGGCGCUGUCUCAACGAGGGGCUCGGUGAAAUUGAACUGGGGGUGAAGAUGCCCUCUACCCGCGACAGGACAAAAAGACCCUAGCAGCUUUACUAUAGCCUGGCACUGAGCUUAGACUAGGCAUGUGUAGGAUAGGUGGGAGGCUGAGAAGCUCCGACGCCAGUCGGAGUGGAGCCAACGGUGAAAUACCACUCUUGUCUGGUUUUGGUUCUAACCCCGAGGAAUCGGGGGACAAUGUCAGGUGGGUAGUUUGACUGGGGCGGUUGCCUCCUAAAAGGUAACGGAGGCGUCCAAAGGUUCCCUCAGCACGAAUGGAAACCGUGCGCAGAGUGCAUUGGCAUAAGGGAGCUUGACUGCGAGGCACACAAGCCGAGCAGGGACGAAAGUCGGGCAAAGUGAUCCUACGGUUCCGUAUGGAAGGGCCGUGGCUUAUCGGAUAAAAGCUACGCUAGGGAUAACAGGCUUAUCUUGCCCAAGAGUUCACAUCGACGGCAAGGUUUGGCACCUCGAUGUCGGCUCGUCGCAUCCUGGGGCUGGAGAAGGUCCCAAGGGUCGGGCUGUUCGCCCGUUAAAGCGGCACGCGAGCUGGGUUCAGACCGUCGUGAGACAGGUCGGUCUCUAUCCGUCGUGGGCGCCGGAGAUUUGAGGGGAGCUCUCCUUAGUACGAGAGGAUUAGGAGGGACAGACCGCUGGUGUGCCAGUUGUUCCGCCAGGAGCAACGCUGGGUAGCUAUGUCUGGUCGGGAUAAGCGCUGAAAGCAUCUAAGUGCGAAGCCCACCCCAAGAUGAGAUCUCCCACCUGACUUCGGUCGGGGUAAGGCCGCAGGUAGACUACCUGCUUGAUAGGCGGCAUGUGUAAGCGGAGCAAUCCGUUUAGCUAAGCCGUACUAAUGGCCGAGGCCUUGACC